UACAAAGGUCCCAAGCGUUGUUCGGAUUCACUGGGCGUAAAGGGUGCGUAGGUGGCCGGGAAAGUUCGGUGUAAAAGCUCCAAGCUCAACUUGGAAAUGUCACCGAAAACUUCCUAACUUGAAAAUUGAAGGGGAGACUGGAAUUCUCGGUGUAGCAGUGAAAUGCGUAGAUAUCGAGAGGAACACCGGUGGCGAAGACGAAUCUCUAGGCAAUUCCUGACACUAAGGCACAAAAGCUGGAAAAGCAAAC
RNAcentral lists this ribosomal RNA (250 nucleotides) under uncultured bacterium. Its description in RNAcentral is "partial 16S ribosomal RNA". It matches the Rfam family "Bacterial small subunit ribosomal RNA", at positions 524 to 773 of the family's 1533-position model. The record is from RNAcentral.